RNAcentral lists this long non-coding RNA (695 nucleotides) under Helianthus annuus (common sunflower). Lineage: Eukaryota; Viridiplantae; Streptophyta; Magnoliopsida; Asterales; Asteraceae. The record is from RNAcentral.
AUGGUGAAAAUAAAAAACAAAAGGUUUGAUGAGAGUUGUAAAAGUGUAAGGGGGAGAUUUUAAAUUUUUCAGCGCCUCUUUGAUUUCUCCCCCAAAUUAAAGCGGUAGUCAAUUAUUCAAUCGCUCCAAAACCUAAUCCUCCUCAAUUGAACCAUCUACCAUCCUCUACUCGCGCAUCACUUCCGACGAUCUUUCGAUUCUAGUGCUCAGUUGCUCCAAAACCUAACCAUCCUCAAUCACUCCGAAACCCUAAUCGCCCCAAAUGUAGCAUCCGUUUGACUUUAACAACAUGAUAAUCAUUUGAUUCUAGAGAUUUUAGACUCAGAAUUGUGACAUUGCUUUGGAGGGAUAUAAAUGAGAUAAGGAGAAUGUAGGCAAAUGUGAAUUGAUAUCAUGGCACGUACUAUGGAUUGAGGUAGUGCUCAAGCUAGUGGUCGAGGUGUUGGACGGGCAAGAUGGUGGUCAAGCUGGUGAACGAGGUGUUGGGUGAGGUAGUAGUCAAGGUAGCGGUCUAGUCGGUGAUUGAGGGAUUUGGCGUAGUGGUUGAGGUCGAGUUUGUUCUUCCUCAACCAACUCGAUCCGUUAUCAAUUCUUUAAUUCUGGAGUUAAUUACCUAAUUAGUCCUUGUGGUUUAUAUGAAGUAAUAAUGUUAGGUACUAAGACCAUGUGUAGUGGUAAAACAAAAUAAUGCCCCC